GACGAACGCUGGCGGCGUGCCUAAUACAUGCAAGUCGAACGCUUCCUACCGGUGCUUGCACCGGGAAAGAAGAGUGGCGGACGGGUGAGUAACACGUGGGUAACCUACCUACAAGCGGGGGAUAACAUUCGGAAACGGAUGCUAAUACCGAAUAGAUCUUUUUGUCUCCUGGCAGAAAGAAGAAAGACGGUUUCGGCUGUCACUUGCAGUUGGACCCGCGGCGCAUUAGUUAGUUGGUGAGGUAAUGGCUCACCAAGACGAUGAUGCGUAGCCGACCUAAGAGGGGGAUGGGCCACGCUGGGACUGAGCCACGGCCCAGACUCCUGCGGGAGGCAGCAGUAGGGAAUCUUCCGCAAUGGACGAAAGUCUGACGGAGCAACGCCGCGUGAGUGAAGAAGGUUUUCGGUUCGUAAAACUCUGUUGUUAGAGAAGAACAAGGAUGAGAGUAACUGCUCGUCCCUUGACGGUAUCUAACCAGAAAGCCAUGGCUAACUACGUGCCAGCCGCCGCCGUAA
Molecule: ribosomal RNA, 515 nt
Filed under: uncultured bacterium
Lineage: Bacteria
Description: partial 16S ribosomal RNA
Rfam family: Bacterial small subunit ribosomal RNA
Source: RNAcentral